Long non-coding RNA from Galeopterus variegatus (Sunda flying lemur), 1667 nucleotides. RefSeq lists it as uncharacterized. The record is from RefSeq and is a predicted model, not a curated record. The transcript has 4 exons. NCBI's taxonomy places the organism in Eukaryota, Metazoa, Chordata, Mammalia, Dermoptera, Cynocephalidae.
GAGGAGGCGGGACCAUCUCCGGAUUGGGGGUUGUCACCCGAGGGCAGAGCGUCGGCGGGAUCCGCGCCCAUUCGGGUCCUGGGCGGGGCUCUCACAUCUUACGGGUGAUUGCUGCCAGAGAGCCAAGCGGUUUAAAAACCAUGCAGCCCAGGAUGCUGGAGCCAGAGCCUGGAGGUGACUUGGCAGCCCUCUCUCCUUGAAGAUCCACAGACAAAGGGUGGUGAACAGAGGGGGUGAUGAAGACUGGAAAAAAGGUCACCAGUGAAGGGCGACCUCUUCUGACUCAAAGCAACAGAAAAGUAAGCUGAGGCCAGCUUAUCCCAGGCUCCUGCCCUCUGCCCAGGCAAACUGCAAUGUGAACCUCUGGGUCUGUUCCUCAGCUCACAAUCCCUCUCCAACCCCACCCUGUCCCUGUCACUUGGGGCUCAGCUCUGGGACACACACACUGCACCAGCAUCUUUGAGAUGCUGAGUUCCCAAGUCUGGAUGGGAGUCACGUGUCAUCUGGUCAACCUUCCCCCAGAGCAGAGGAAUCAAGUCACACACCAGGGGGGAUCAGCCUGGCCUCAGACCCCACCAGGCCAACUCCACGCAUGAAGGUGGAGGGCCAGCCGCAGAGCUCAGGGCAGGGUGGUGUCAUUAAAGUGUGAAGUCAGCAGGUAGUGCUGGGAGGUGUGUGGGGGGUGGGGGGGUAAUACUGGACUGUGGUUACCCCCCAGCCCUUCUUAGAAACCCUGCAGGACAAAAUCCAGCCACCAGAGGGCGACUUGCACACCUGGGUCCGAAUGCACUGGGUCCUCCUGAAAUGUGGAUAUUUUGGGGAUAGGUCAUAAUGUAAACACUGCAAAAAAGGAUAAUGUAGAAUCAAUUUUAAAAAAAAGAAGAUACAGGAGGGCCGGCCCGUGGCUCACUUGGUUAGAGUGUGGUGCUGAGAACACCAAGUUCAAGAGUUCGGAUCCCUGUACUUGCCAGCUUCCAAAACACUCGCCUCCAAAAAACCAAUGUUUCCUUACAUACAGUGACAGUUCUCAGAGAAUGAGGCCAUGUUGGGGAAGCCCAAGGCUUUUGCCUUUCGAGGGACUCUGAGGGCCCUUGACUUCCUGUUUAAGGGGGGGUGACUUUGUGUUUUCUUCCUCAUCUCCUCCAGCAGGGGCGGCACCCAGAGGGCUGGGGGAGGGGUUGUGUGAUGAGGUAGAUUGAUGUAGCUUAUGCCAUUUUUACUGUUUGAAAAUGUUCUUGUUUGAAAGCCCCCCAACACCUGUGGUGAAAAUUGAAGGUUAAAAAUUGUCCUGUACUUAGACAAAUUUUAGGUUCUGCCUGCCUUUGCUGUUUCCCGCCUAUGCUGUCCCUGACUGACAACACCAAGAGCUAUAUCUGGAUGUAUCUAGACAACCUAAGAAGAAAACCACCCUGUGAAAAUUUUUGCUGUCCCUAAGUGAUUAACUGGCUUCUUUCAGCUUCUGUUACCAGCUUGUGCUAGGCCUCCCCAGCGUGUAUGUGUGUAACUAUAUGAUAACUGUAAGUAUGUGACUAUAUGAUUUUUUGCCUGUGUGACUAUGUGCCUUUUAAAGACCCCUUAAACUUAAACUCAAGGCUGCUUCCUUCCAAGACUUCCUGUGGUGGAACAGUUGCCAGCCGGCCAAUAAAACCCCCCUUUUAAAUUCUCAA